GCGUUAUCCGGAUUUACUGGGUUUAAAGGGUGCGUAGGUGGGUUGGGAAGUCAGUGGUGAAAUACUUUCGCUUAACGAAGGAACUGCCAUUGAUACUAUCAAUCUUGAAUACAGUGGAGGUAGGCGGAAUGCGUCAUGUAGCGGUGAAAUGCUUAGAUAUGACGCAGAACACCAAUUGCGAAGGCAGCUUGCUACACUGUUAUUGACACUGAGGCACGAAAGCGUG
This 226-nucleotide ribosomal RNA is filed under the name uncultured bacterium. RNAcentral describes it as "partial 16S ribosomal RNA". It matches the Rfam family "Bacterial small subunit ribosomal RNA", at positions 538 to 763 of the family's 1533-position model. The record is from RNAcentral.